AGAGUUUGAUCCUGGCUCAGGAUGAACGCUAGCUACAGGCUUAACACAUGCAAGUCGAGGGGAAACGACAUCGAAAGCUUGCUUUUGAUGGGCGUCGACCGGCGCACGGGUGAGUAACGCGUAUCCAACCUGCCCAUCACUUGGGGAUAACCUUGCGAAAGUAAGACUAAUACCCAAUGACGUCUCUAGAAACAUCUGAAAGAGAUUAAAGAUUUAUCGGUGAUGGAUGGGGAUGCGUCUGAUUAGCUUGUGCGGGUAACGCCACAAGGCGACGAUCAGUAGGGUUCUGAGAGGAAGGUCCCCCANAUUGGAACUGAGACACGGUCCAAACUCCGUACGGGAGGCA
This 346-nucleotide ribosomal RNA is filed under the name uncultured bacterium. RNAcentral's name for it is "bacterial SSU rRNA". It matches the Rfam family "Bacterial small subunit ribosomal RNA", at positions 8 to 350 of the family's 1533-position model. The record is from RNAcentral.